This 466-nucleotide ribosomal RNA is filed under the name Vreelandella stevensii. RNAcentral describes it as "partial 16S ribosomal RNA". It matches the Rfam family "Bacterial small subunit ribosomal RNA", at positions 338 to 795 of the family's 1533-position model. The record is from RNAcentral. Lineage: Bacteria; Pseudomonadati; Pseudomonadota; Gammaproteobacteria; Oceanospirillales; Halomonadaceae.
CCUACGGGAGGCAGCAGUGGGGAAUAUUGGACGAUGGGGGCAACCCUGAUCCAGCCAUGCCGCGUGUGUGAAGAAGGCCAUCGGGUUGUAAAGCACUUUCAGUGAGGAAGAACGCCUGGUGGUUAAUACCCAGCAGGAAAGACAUCACUCACCGAAGAAGCACCGGCUACACUACGUGCCAGCAGCCGCGGUAAUACGGAGGGUGCGAGCGUUAAUCGGAAUUACUGGGCGUAAAGCGCGCGUAGGUGGCUUGAUAAGCCGGUUGUGAAAGCCCCGGGCGCAACCUUGGAACGGCAUCCGGAACUGGCAAGCUAGAGUGCAGGAGAGGAAGGGAGAAUUCCCGGUGUAGCGGUGAAAUGCGUAGAGAUCUGGAGGAAUACCAGUGGCGAAGGCGGCCUUCUGGACUGACACUGACACUGAGGUGCGAAAGCGUGGGUAGCAAACAGGAUUAGAUACCCUAGUAGUC